UCAACUCAGGCCCUGGGCUGCCUGGAGGCGGGACUUGAACUCUUGCCAGGUUGUGAGGCCAGAGAUGACAGGCUUCUGUCUCUGAAUCUCCAAAGUCUACACCAGAUAUGGUGCCUGACGUCCUCCCUGCCCAUGUUUGGAGAGGAGCCCAGAUGAUCUGGGACAAGGGUUGGCCUGGUCCAGCUCAGCUGGCUGCGAACUCUCAAGUUCAUGCUUUUACCUGCCACAUCCUUGCCUUGAAAGGGCAGGGUGGCUGUAAACUUGGGGCUCAGAAUCCCCUUUAACCACUCCUCAACUUCCCCUCUAAACUGAGAGGGAGACGCUGAGACCUGAGGAUCCAGUCCCCCUACCUGAACUGGAUCCACUGCCCCUAGCUGGUCAAACCCCAGAUUUUGCCGGCUACCCAGGCAAGGCAGAUGCACCCAGGCUGUGGAGAUUGACUGGCCCAGCCCAGCACAGCGCAGCCUCCCACGACCUUCCCUAAAUCAGGGGCCAGAGGCAAAGAGCUCCCAGCAGAAGAGGAGAGGAGGCUGUGUGGUACAAAUUGUUCCUGACAGAAGAAUGCUGCAGCUGAGCCCAUCCUGGCUGGGCCUCGGCCCGGUGGCAGCAUCACUAUGGCUGCUCCUGCUGCUGGCUGGGGCCUCCUGGCUCCUGGCCCGCUUCCUGGCCUGGACCUGUGCCUUCUGUGACAACUGCCGCUGCCUCAAGUAUUUCCCACAACCCCCAAACAGAAACGGUUUUGGGGUCACCAGGACCUGGGGCUGCUGAGAACGGAGGACCCUCAGCAUACAGACCUUUCAUCUGUGGGAGGAACCAGUGCCCAUGUGGACC
This 831-nucleotide long non-coding RNA is filed under the name Rhinopithecus bieti (black snub-nosed monkey). RNAcentral's name for it is "lncRNA (ENSRBIG00000045296.1)". Lineage: Eukaryota; Metazoa; Chordata; Mammalia; Primates; Cercopithecidae. The record is from RNAcentral.